AGAGAAUAGAUACCCGGGUAGUCCAUGCCGUAAACUAUGGAUACUAGCUGUUGGGGGUAUCGACCCCUCCAGUAGCGAAAGACUAACGACGUUAAGUAUCCCGCCUGUGGAGUACGAUCGCAAGAUUAAAACAAUAAAGGAAGUUGACGGGGACCCGCACAAGCGGUGGAGCGUGUUCUUUAAAUUCGAUGCUAAACGAAGAACCUUACCAGGGCUUGACAUCCCUUGAAUUACUCCGAAAGGAGUGAGUGCUUUAUUGAGCAAGGUGACAGGUGAUGCAUGGCCGUCGUCAGCUCGUGUCGUGAGAUGUUUGGUUAAGUCCAUCAACGAGCGCAACCCUUAUACUUAGUUGUAUUUUC
This 359-nucleotide ribosomal RNA is filed under the name uncultured bacterium. RNAcentral's name for it is "bacterial SSU rRNA". It matches the Rfam family "Bacterial small subunit ribosomal RNA", at positions 774 to 1124 of the family's 1533-position model. The record is from RNAcentral.